Molecule: ribosomal RNA, 441 nt
Filed under: uncultured bacterium
Lineage: Bacteria
Description: bacterial SSU rRNA
Rfam family: Bacterial small subunit ribosomal RNA
Source: RNAcentral
AACGCGAAGAACCUUACCUACCCUUGACAUGCCAGGAAAUUUGCAGAGAUGCGAAGGUGCCGAAAGGAACCUGGACACAGGUGCUGCAUGGCUGUCGUCAGCUCGUGUUGUGAGAUGUUGGGUUAAGUCCCGUAACGAGCGCAACCCUUAUCCUUAGUUGCCAACAUGUGAUGGUGGGGACUCUAAGGAGACUGCUGGUGAUGAACCGGAGGAAGGCGGGGACGACGUCAAGUCAUCAUGGCCUUUAUGGGUAGGGCUACACACGUGCUACAAUGGGCAGUACAGAGGGUAGCCAACCCGCGAGGGGGAGCCAAUCCCAGAAAGCUGCUCGUAGUCCGGAUUGGAGUCUGCAACUCGACUUCAUGAAGUCGGAAUCGCUAGUAAUCGCGAAUCAGAAUGUCGCGGUGAAUACGUUCCCGGGCCUUGUACACACCGACGCAC